This 1419-nucleotide ribosomal RNA is filed under the name uncultured bacterium. RNAcentral's name for it is "bacterial SSU rRNA". It matches the Rfam family "Bacterial small subunit ribosomal RNA". The record is from RNAcentral.
AUCGAUUAGAGUUUGAUCAUGGCUCAGGACGAACGCUGGCGGCGUGCCUAAUACAAGCAAGUCGAACGCUUCUUUCCUCCCGAGUGCUUGCACUCAAUUGGAAAGAGGAGUGGCGGACGGGUGAGUAACACGUGGGUAACCUACCCAUCAGAGGGGGAUAACACUUGGAAACAGGUGCUAAUACCGCAUAACAGUUUAUGCCGCAUGGCAUAAGAGUGAAAGGCGCUUUCGGGUGUCGCUGAUGGAUGGACCCGCGGUGCAUUAGCUAGUUGGUGAGGUAACGGCUCACCAAGGCCACGAUGCAUAGCCGACCUGAGAGGGUGAUCGGCCACACUGGGACUGAGACACGGCCCAGACUCCUACGGGAGGCAGCAGUAGGGAAUCUUCGGCAAUGGACGAAAGUCUGACCGAGCAACGCCGCGUGAGUGAAGAAGGUUUUCGGAUCGUAAAACUCUGUUGUUAGAGAAGAACAAGGACGUUAGUAACUGAACGUCCCCUGACGGUAUCUAACCAGAAAGCCACGGCUAACUACGUGCCAGCAGCCGCGGUAAUACGUAGGUGGCAAGCGUUGUCCGGAUUUAUUGGGCGUAAAGCGAGCGCAGGCGGUUUCUUAAGUCUGAUGUGAAAGCCCCCGGCUCAACCGGGGAGGGUCAUUGGAAACUGGGAGACUUGAGUGCAGAAGAGGAGAGUGGAAUUCCAUGUGUAGCGGUGAAAUGCGUAGAUAUAUGGAGGAACACCAGUGGCGAAGGCGGCUCUCUGGUCUGUAACUGACGCUGAGGCUCGAAAGCGUGGGGAGCAAACAGGGUUAGAUACCCUGGUAGUCCACGCCGUAAACGAUGAGUGCUAAGUGUUGGAGGGUUUCCGCCCUUCAGUGCUGCAGCAAACGCAUUAAGCACUCCGCCUGGGGAGUACGACCGCAAGGUUGAAACUCAAAGGAAUUGACGGGGGCCCGCACAAGCGGUGGAGCAUGUGGUUUAAUUCGAAGCAACGCGAAGAACCUUACCAGGUCUUGACAUCCUUUGACCACUCUAGAGAUAGAGCUUUCCCUUCGGGGACAAAGUGACAGGUGGUGCAUGGUUGUCGUCAGCUCGUGUCGUGAGAUGUUGGGUUAAGUCCCGCAACGAGCGCAACCCUUAUUGUUAGUUGCCAUCAUUUAGUUGGGCACUCUAGCGAGACUGCCGGUGACAAACCGGAGGAAGGUGGGGAUGACGUCAAAUCAUCAUGCCCCUUAUGACCUGGGCUACACACGUGCUACAAUGGGAAGUACAACGAGUCGCUAGACCGCGAGGUCAUGCGAAUCUCUUAAAGCUUCUCUCAGUUCGGAUUGCAGGCUGCAACUCGCCUGCAUGAAGCCGGAAUCGCUAGUAAUCGCGGAUCAGCACGCCGCGGUGAAUACGUUCCCGGGCCUUGUAGACACCG